AUUGCAAUUUGAAUUCAAAAGCCCAAAUUACACACAGCACAAAGCAUUCCACACUCACUCUCCCAUUAGGGCUGCGAUGAAGGAGGUUCUCACGACGAGCUUUUGUUCUUAUGUUUCUUAUUUCUAUUUUUUCUUACUACUCGGUUUGUAAUAAUGAUUUGUUUUUUGAUAUUUCUUCUGUUUAUCUGUUUCUUUCAUGGAUUUUAGGGGUUUUUCAAUCAUCUCAAUCUGGAUAGUUUUCCUUCAUCGAAAGGUUUCAAAUGGAAAAGAAGAAGGCAAAAUGUGGAAACCAAUAAAGAAAACAUAAAACCAUCUGAAGAGGGAAAUCCUAGCACUGGUAGUCUGUUAAGCACAACCGAACAGAAUUAUCAAACUCCUACAAGGCCUCUAUCUGCUCUAUCAAAUCAGAGCUCUGUGCUGAAUAUUUGUCCACAGAACGGUGAUGGCUCGCUGCUAGAGGCAUGUGCCAAGUUGAAGCUUUAGAUCAGAUGGCCUGGAUUGUGUCACAUUGCCUACUUUUCACUUUCCGCAUUGUUUGCAGCUGCAGUGUACAUCAAGAUGAAGAAACCAAAUACUGCUAUAAGAGAUGCCAAUACUGCUUUAGAGGUAGUUCAUAGUCUCCUAAAUGUGCUCACAUUGUAAUUUUAUAUGGUCAAUAUUAAUACUAAAAGCAUAUAUCUCUCAGUGCAAUUUGUUAAUGAAGUUCCCCCUACAGACUGAUCGGCUUGCAUGAUAUACAUAGUUUACAAAUUUCCGGUAUUAAAUUUAUUUGCUUUGUGUUUAACUGUUACAGAAUAUUGUAUUUGAUUAUGUGAGAGUUAUUGGAGCCUUUUGUUUUACGACUUGAGGUUAAAAAAUGAAACCCAAGAGCAAGUAGUUAAGGCGUGUAAGUAUUUGAGUUG
Long non-coding RNA from Daucus carota subsp. sativus, 902 nucleotides. RefSeq lists it as uncharacterized. Lineage: Eukaryota; Viridiplantae; Streptophyta; Magnoliopsida; Apiales; Apiaceae. The transcript is spliced from 5 exons. The record is from RefSeq and is a predicted model, not a curated record.